AAUAGAUACCCUGGUAGUCCACGCCGUAAACGAUGGAUACUAGCUGUUUGAGCGCAAGUUUGAGUGGCUAAGCGAAAGUGAUAAGUAUCCCACCUGGGGAGUACGGGCGCAAGCCUGAAACUCAAAGGAAUUGACGGGGGCCCGCACAAGCGGUGGAGCAUGUGGUUUAAUUCGAUGAUACGCGAGGAACCUUACCAGGGCUUAAAUGUAGAUUGACGUAUUUGGAAACAGAUAUUUCUUCGGACAAUUUACAAGGUGCUGCAUGGUUGUCGUCAGCUCGUGCCGUGAGGUGUCAGGUUAAGUCCUAUAACGAGCGCAACCCCUGUUGUUAGUUGCCAGCGAGUAAUGUCGGGAACUCUAGCAAGACUGCCAGUGUAAACUGUGAGGAAGGUGGGGAUGACGUCAAAUCAUCACGGCCCUUAGUCCUGGGCCACACACGUGCUACAAUGGCCGGUACAGAGAGCAGCCACUUAGCGAUAAGGAGCGAAUCUAUAAAGCCGGUCACAGUUCGGAUCGGAGU
Molecule: ribosomal RNA, 520 nt
Filed under: uncultured bacterium
Lineage: Bacteria
Description: bacterial SSU rRNA
Rfam family: Bacterial small subunit ribosomal RNA
Source: RNAcentral